RNAcentral lists this ribosomal RNA (406 nucleotides) under uncultured bacterium. RNAcentral's name for it is "partial 16S ribosomal RNA". It matches the Rfam family "Bacterial small subunit ribosomal RNA", at positions 30 to 526 of the family's 1533-position model. The record is from RNAcentral.
AUUGAACGCUGGCGGCAGGCCUAACACAUGCAAGUCGAGCGAGCGGAGGACGGGUGAGUAAUGUCUGGUAAACUGCCUGAUGGAGGGGGAUAACUACUGGAACCGGUAGCUAAUACCGCAUCCCAUCAGAUGUGCCCAGAUGGGAUUAGCUAGUGGGUGGGGUAACGGCACAACUAGGCGACGAUCCCUAGCUGGUCUGAGUGGAUGACCAGCCACACUGGAACGGAGACACGGUCCAGACUCGUACGGGAGGCAGCAGUGGGGAAUAUUGCACAAUGGGCGCAAGCCUGAUGCAGCCAUGCCGCGUGUGUGAAGAAGGCCUUCGGGUUGUAAAGCACUUUCAGCGGGGAGGCGUUACCCGCAGAAGAAGCACCGGCUAACUCCGUGCCAGCCGCCGCGGUAAUUC